CCUACUGGUGGCAGCAGUGGGGAAUAUUGCGCAAUGGGCGCAAGCCUGACGCAGCGACGCCGCGUGAGGGAUGAAGGUCUUCGGAUCGUAAACCUCUGUCAGCAGGGAAGAACGGUCACUGUGCUAAUCAGCAGUGAAUUGACGGUACCUGCAAAGGAAGCACCGGCUAACUCCGGGCCAGCAGCCGCGGUCAUACGGAGGGUGCGGGAGUUAAGCGGAAUUACUGGGCGUAAAGCGCACGUAGGCGGUAUGUCAAGUAAAGGGUGAAAUCCCCGCGCUCAACGUGGGAACUGCCUUUGAAACUGGCAACCUGGAUGGUGUGAGAGGAUAGUGGAAGUCCAGGUGUAGGAGUUAAAUCCGUAGAUAUCUG
Molecule: ribosomal RNA, 370 nt
Filed under: uncultured bacterium
Lineage: Bacteria
Description: partial 16S ribosomal RNA
Rfam family: Bacterial small subunit ribosomal RNA
Source: RNAcentral